GACGAACGCUGGCGGCGUGCUUAACACAUGCAAGUCGAACGGAAAGGCCCUGCUUGCAGGGUACUCGAGUGGCGAACGGGUGAGUAACACGUGGGUGCUCUGCCCUGCACUUCGGGAUAAGCCUGGGAAACUGGGUCUAAUACCGGAUAGGAGCCAUUUUUAGUGUGAUGGUUGGAAAGUUUUUUCGGUGUAGGAUGAGCUCGCGGCCUAUCAGCUUGUUGGUGGGGUAAUGGCCUACCAAGGCGGCGACGGGUAGCCGGCCUGAGAGGGUGGACGGCCACAUUGGGACUGAGAGACGGCCCAGACUCCUACGGGAGGCAGCAGUGGGGAAUAUUGCACAAUGGGCGCAAGCCUGAUGCAGCGACGCCGCGGGGGGGAUGACGGCCUUCGGGUUGGAAACUCCUUUCGCUAGGGACGAAGCUUUUUGUGACGGUACCUAGAUAAGAAGCACCGGCUAACUACGUG
RNAcentral lists this ribosomal RNA (465 nucleotides) under uncultured bacterium. Its description in RNAcentral is "partial 16S ribosomal RNA". It matches the Rfam family "Bacterial small subunit ribosomal RNA", at positions 28 to 507 of the family's 1533-position model. The record is from RNAcentral.